RNAcentral lists this long non-coding RNA (567 nucleotides) under Zonotrichia albicollis (white-throated sparrow). RNAcentral describes it as "lncRNA (ENSZALG00000007903.1)". The record is from RNAcentral. Lineage: Eukaryota; Metazoa; Chordata; Aves; Passeriformes; Passerellidae.
GAGCAUCCUAGGGACUCCAAAGAGCAAAUGAUUACAAAAUCUGUUGGAGUGAUUCACACCAGCAACAGCAGUUGAUCCAGUGUUUCAUUAGGACCAUCUUUGCUGGUCCUCCCAGGCCUUCUGAAUGUAAUCCUGAAGCUGUGAAAUUAUUUAUCUCAAAGGACAAGCUGGACUUGCCGUGAUAAUGGAGGGAAGGUCUGUUUACCAUGCCACAAAGACACUGCUGAGCCUCUGCUAAAGUGGAAGGUUGGAGGUCUAUUGAUGAGACAAGGAGAGACCUUGCUUGGGGAACAGAUUACAGAAAAAAUAUAAUCAGGUGUCCCAGCUGCUGUUCAAGCCUCUGUUUGCAAAGGCCCCUGGAUACACAAAUGUCUCCACAACCACAAACCAAAUAAAGGACGUGAUUGCAGAAUGCGGUACAGAAGUGCCUGGUGUGGAUAACAACCCAGCCUGGUAGUAAGAGUAGCACAUCUCAAUGCUGUGCACUGUGGUUAGGGUUGCUUUUCUCAGAACAGAUCUAUUCCAGCCUCCACAAACACACCAACAUCCAGCAACUGAAAUAAUUUU